CUAGAACCUUUGCGCUCUCUUUCUUCACACCUCCAGUCCUCCACCCACCCUCAUUUCCCAGUCGCGUACGUGGGCAGUUCACACCAACCCCCACCCUGAUCGCCCGCAUCUGCAUCGGGAGCGUGAAGGAAGAAAAAAUAGGAGGACAUGACGCUGCUGUGUGUGCCGCUGGUGGGGCGGACGGUCGAGGAGAUGAAGAUCGACGCGGCGGCCGCAGCGGCCGCAGGGGCCGACCUUGUCGAGAUCCGACUGGACUACAUCGAGGGGUUCCGCCCGCGGGAGGACCUUCCACGUCUGCUCCACAGCUGCCCACUCCCCGUUCUUGUCACCUACCGGCCUAACUGGGAAGGAGGUCGCUAUGAUGGUGAUGAUGCCACUAGAUUUGAAACACUCUAUUUAGCUAUGGAACUAGGUGUAGACUAUGUUGACAUCGAGUUAAAGGUUGCUGACAAAUUUGUUGGUUUUCUUUCUGGUAAUAAGCCAGAUAAGUGUAAACUUAUUGUUUCUUCACAUAAUUAUGAAAGUACCCCAUCCUGCGAGGAUCUUGCAAAUCUUGUAGCCAGAAUACAAGAAGUUGGAGCUGACAUAGUUAAAGUUGCAACAACUGCUACAGACAUUGUUGAUGUGUCAAGGAUGUUCCAAGUGAUGGUGCACUGCCAAGUGCCUAUGAUUGGAUUGGUGAUGAGUGAGAGAGGUUUGAUGUCAAGGGUGUUAUCCCCAAAAUUUGGUGGAUAUCUUACCUUUGGAAUACUUGAUGCUACAAAGACAUCAGCAUCUGGGCAACCAACACUUGAAGAAUUAUUGGACAUUUACAAUAUAAGGUGUAUAGGACCUGAUACAAAAGUUCUUGGUCUUAUAGCCAACCCAGUAAAGCAGAGCAAGAGCCCAAUUUUGCACAAUAAAUGUCUACAGUCUGUUGGAUACAAUGCUGUUUAUCUUCCACUUCUGGCAGACGAUCUUGCUAGAUUUCUUGACACAUAUUCAGCUCCAGAUUUUUCAGGAUUUAGUUGCUCUCUUCCUUUCAAAGUGGAUGCAGUACAUUGUUGCCAUGAACAUGAUGCUGUUGCUAAGUCAAUAGGUGCCAUAAACACUAUAGUUAGGAAAUCAGACGGCAAAUUAGUGGGCUACAAUACAGACUACAUUGGAGCAAUUUCUGCUAUUGAAGAUGGCAUAGGAGGUCUGGGGUCAAAGGAUGCUGCUAUGUCACCAUUGUCUGGCAGGCUUAUUGUUGUUGUAGGUGCUGGUGGUGCUGCUAAGGCAAUUGCCUAUGGAGCAAAGAAGAAGGGUGCAAGAGUUGUAGUAGCAAAUCGUACCUAUGAAAAGGCAGUUACUCUUGCCAAUGCAGUCGGUGGCCAGGCCCUGAGGUUAGCCGACCUGGAAAAUUUCAGGCCUGAAGAAGGGACGAUCCUCGCUAAUGCAACAUCAUUGGGGAUGUACCCAAAUGUUGAUGGCACUCCUGUUCCGAAGAAAGCUUUAAGUUUCUAUGAUGUAGUGUUUGAUGCGGUAUAUGCCCCAAAAGUUACCCGGCUUCUACGAGAAGCAAAAGAACAUGGAGUGAAAGUUGUUAGCGGUGUAGAGAUGUUUGUUAGACAAGCCAUGGGCCAAUUUGAGCAUUUCACUGGUGGUAUAGAAGCUCCUGAAAGCCUGAUGCGCGAGAUAGCAGCACAGUAUACCUAGCAGGCUGAUGGUGAAAUAAUUGGCUUGGACAAAUUAGCCCAAAGAUUCUUCAAGAUGAGUGGAUAUCAAAUUUUGACGCC
Molecule: ribosomal RNA, 1757 nt
Filed under: Triticum aestivum (bread wheat)
Lineage: Eukaryota; Viridiplantae; Streptophyta; Magnoliopsida; Poales; Poaceae
Description: partial small subunit ribosomal RNA
Source: RNAcentral